Molecule: long non-coding RNA, 666 nt
Organism: Rhinolophus ferrumequinum (greater horseshoe bat)
Lineage: Eukaryota; Metazoa; Chordata; Mammalia; Chiroptera; Rhinolophidae
Exons: 3
Source: RefSeq, a predicted model, not a curated record
UUCACAGCAUAAUACUCUCUAGUUCCAUCCAUGUUGUUGCAAAUGCUGGCAUUUUGACUGCAACCUCAAGACAGACUCUGAAUUAGAACCUCACAGCUAAGCUACUACUGAAUUCUUGAUGCACAAAAACUGUCCAUGCAAAAGGUUGGCUGAACAAGGAAGAAAUUAAAUUGUGGACAGUUAAAGUGUGGUCCAGCUGUCCUAGUUGGGUGGACUACUAAGGAACUUGCGAUACUAGUCUGGAAUGAAUUUUGGUUGAUCUGAUUAGACAUCAAAAAGCUGGCCUAUAAUUCCAGAAGACUGAACUAGCCAGUUGCAGCCUUAAGACUUUGUUAUCAAGAAGUCAUUUAAAGGAUUCAUAAAGGAUGAGAAGAACAGGUAUAUGCAGGCUUCAGAUUUUUUGAGUUGAUACCAAAAGAAGGAAGAGGCUUACAAUUUCAUAACUGUGUGAAUAGGUCAAAACUUCAUGGAAUGCUGUAAAACAAGGGCCAAUUGUGCAAUGGUUUAAAUAAUGUGGAAUUAAUGUUCUUGACAAUCUGAGUACAAUUUUUUGUUUGAUGAUGGUUUUAACUGAGUUUUUAAUGCAGUGAAGGUUGAAGAUUAAGAGAUUCCUCUAGAAUCCAGUAGUAGCCAUAGUUUUCAGGUUUGGAAAAUAUUUCUUUAAUA